Oryctolagus cuniculus (rabbit) is the source of this 4651-nucleotide non-coding RNA. NCBI's taxonomy places the organism in Eukaryota, Metazoa, Chordata, Mammalia, Lagomorpha, Leporidae. The record is from RefSeq and is a predicted model, not a curated record.
GCGGGACUUCCGGCCGCCACCCCAGCCGGUCGCCAUGGAGACGCACCUUCCCUGUGGUCGCCGGGGUCCGGGCGGGAGGAGGGUCGGGGCUGCGCGGGGGCGGGUCCCGGGCACCGUGAGCGGGGUGUCCCCGCGGGUCGGGGUCUCGGGAGGAGGAGAGCGGGUGGGUCCCCGGGUGCCCUGCGCGGGUCCGUGGGGCGGAGUGGACGCCACUCAGGUUCCAGGCCCAGGCAGCCCAGGCCGUAGCUGGCUUGCUUUGCUGUGUGUCACCGAGUGGACUCCCUUUGGGGGCGCCUGCAGCAGUUUGUGAGGUGGGUGGCACGGGGCUCGGUUCCCACCUUUGCCUCCUCACUUCGAGCAAGGCUCAUGCCGCCUGCCCAGGGCCCCCGGGGAGGGGAGAGCUCGCUGGAGCAGGAGCCCGGUUUGCUCCCGCCCUCUCCAGGUGAGGCUGGUGGCAAGUGUAACGCCGGGAGCACAGCCGUUACAGUGUAGCCGGGGUCUGCUCCCAGAAGCGGGGAGUUGAGAGCGCUUCCUGCUCGCAGACUCAGAUGGGACCCAGUGCCCGGGACCUCGGGCUGGAGGCAAAGAAGGCGAGAUGCUGAGGGUGUGGGUGUCGGGGUGCAAGGUUGUGGGUUUUGUUGAAGGGACCAGAGAGUGCUGCCUGGGCCCCCCGCGCUCCCCUUUGUAAGGCAGAAAGGGAGGGGGCGCUUACACGGAAGGUGCACGGAGCUGGGCCCCAUCCGCAGGCACAGGGCCCACCGUGGUGUCCUUGAUAACCAAGGGCCCCGAGCCGCGUGAGCCUCCAGGAAGCCCCUGCCCGCCUGUGGGAGCCCCCAAGAGGGCAGGUCCCAGCCAGCUCUGCACGGUCAGCAUGGACACCCGCUCUGAGGGACAACGAGGGGGGCCCAGCGGCAAGUGAGGCUGGAGGGCGACCUGGGAGGACAGGCCAGCCACCGCCCCCUCGGCUCCCUCCAGACCCAGCCACCUGGGGUCCGCACCGCCGCCAGGGGGCGCUGUUGGCCUCAUGGUGUGGGAGAGCAGAUUCCCCACAAGGAAGCCAGCAGAGCUGAAAAGGUGGGUGGUGGAGGGAGGGGUCAUGCUGACCGCAGGCGGUUCUGCCCGGAUGGGCCCAGGAUUCUGAGGGUCCCACAGGUGAGGAUGGAGUCCAGAGCAAGAGCCCACGGGGAAGAGUGGCCGCUGUGGCCCCGUCCCGAGGAAUCUCCUAGGACCCUGCCCAAUCAGAGCAAGCGCCUGGGUGUCCCCCGCAGCCAGCCCUCACUAGAAGGGCGGCCUCUGUGGCGGUCCGGAGCCGGAACCUUCCUCCGAGGACUGAGAGGCUGGCCUGGCUGUGCUCCUGCCCUGUCCCUUCUUUCGGGAGGGGGAGCGUGGACCUCCCCGCCUGCAGCCUGGGGUCCGGUUGAGCGCUGGCGCCAGUCGUCCAGACGGCUGAUCUUGGAAAUGUCUCCUGAUUUCACCUGGAAACGUUGUGCCCCUACAGGGGGCCCGAGCCCUGCCGGGGGGCUGCACAGGCCUGCUGACAGCCUCAGCCUGAACCGCAGCCCCGGGGGGCUCCUCCUCCUGUGUUUGCCACAAGGAGGGCCAGGGCUGCCCCCUCCCUCUGAUGCCGCAUUGGGCUCCCCAUUGUCCAACCCAGGGAGUUCCGUGCACACUGCCAGUCUCUGGGGCUGAAUGGCUCCUGCCAGGGCUGGGAGGGAAUCUCGGUGGCUGCCCUGUGGUGUCGAGAGGCCUCUGCUGCCUUCAGCAGAGAGAGGUGUUGGAGCCUGAGAAGCGAGGAGGGGCCCUGGACUGUGGCCCCAGGGCUCAGCCCCCAUGGCCCCCACAGUUGCUGCAGGGCGUGGCCACUCCGGCCAGCUGGCCGCGGGCCUCUUGGGCCUGCAGCCCCUCUCAGCUUUCCUUGGACUGGCACCGUGACGCCGGGGACACUCGGGUGCCCGUCACGGCCCUGCCAAGGAGGAGCAGGACGGGUGGGUGCCCUGGUGUCGGGGACGGAGUCGGAGGUCAGGGCCGCUGUCCCAGGAGUCAGGCGGCCGUGCACACAAUGUCCAAAUGGCACCCCAAGCCACAGCUCCCAGCUGCAGGCCCUCGGCCCCUCGUGCUGGCCCUCGGCUGCAGCAGGCCCUCCGGGAGACGAAGGAGCCGUGCCUGCCGGUAGCUGCAGCACAGAGCCGCAUGCCCACGACUCAGAAGCGCGUGAGCUUCGCCCAGCUGGCACCCCCUCUGCGGUGGGACGUGGCCUGGGGGUGGGGUGGGGCGCCCUCAGGCCUGUCCUGCACCUGGGACCCCUGGGGCUCUCUCAGCCACUGGGCAACGUGGUGUCGGCCAUGACCUUGGCCAAGGGGCUUGCUCUCCAUUCUGCUGCCCUCUCCCAUGGCUUGGGUUUAUUGUAUCUGAGUCAAUUUCUUUCAGUGGAUUUCCUUGGUGGAUUUGAUCCAGUUUCUCUCUACCAUGACCACGGAAAGCCCCCGGCCGCUCAUCCAGGCAGGCGAACUUGUGUGAGCGUGGCCUGCAGCACGGACACUGCACGAGGCCUUGGGGGCCUCCCGGGUGGCCUUCCAUCCACCCGUCUGUCCGUCCCUCUGUCCACCAUCCACCUUCCCUCCCGCCCUUUCUCAGGCCAACUUCCUGCCCCUCCAGUGGCCCUGGGGCUGUACCGGUGCAGCCGGCGUGCUGCAGGCUCCCUGCUCUCUGUCCAUAAGUGAAGGCCCCCGCAUACUCAUGGCCAGCCCAAGGGCCACCGCUGAGGCCUGCCACAGCAAAUCCAGACCUGGGGAGGGGAGGGGCCUGCACGGCCCCGGCCAGGGCAGGCAUCAGUCGCCUGCCCCCACCCUGGUGGGCAGAGCUGGCCAGACCUCAGGCUUGAUCAUAUCUGCAGUGGGGGCUGGGCGGUCGGAGGGGCCCAGGGUGAGACCCUUCCCCGGCUGCCAGUGGCCCAGACCCCACUCCGAUGGUUGUGGUCCUGCAGACAAGACCUCUGCCCACCCGGGUCCAGCCCUCACUUGGCAGAAAGCCCAAGUUCUCUCCUUCCUUCCCCAGCCCAGGGCCUCUCUGACCCUACUCUGUCCCCACAGGCCUGUGGGGUGACCGCCAUCCUCAACAACGAUGAGAGGACCCAGGCGUGAGGACACAGCUCACCUCUGGGGACACGGCUCACCUCUGGGGACACGGCUCACCUCCAGGGGGACACGGCUGACCUCCCUGGGGGCAUGACUAACCUCCAUGGGGACACGGCUGACCUCUGGGGACACGGCUGACCUCCAAGGGGACACGGCUGACCUCUGGGGACACGGCUGACCUCCAAGGGGACACGGCUCACCUCCAAGGGGACAUGGCUGACCUCUGGGGACACGGCUGACCUCCAGGGGGACACGGCUGACCUCUGGGGACACGGCUGACCUCCAAGGGGACACGGCUGACCUCCAUGGGGACAUGGCUGACCUCUGGGGACACGGCUGACCUCCCUGGGGGCACAGCUCACCUCCAAGGGGACACGGCUGACCUCCCUGGGGGCACAGCUCACCUCCAGGGGGACACGGCUGACCUCCCUGGGGACAAGACUGACCUCCCUGGGGACAUGGCUCACCUCUGGGGACACGGCUGACCUCCAUGGGGACACGGCUGACCUCCCUGGGGGCACGGCUGACCUCCUUGGGAACAUGGCUGACCUCCCUGGGGACACGGCUGACCUCCAUGGGGGCACAGCUGACCUCCAGGGGACAUGGCUGACCUCCAUGGGGACACGGCUGACCUCCUUGGGAACAUGGCUGACCUCCAUGGGGACACGGCUGACCUCCCUGGCUGGAGGCACCUGCCCAGCUUGCAGUGUCUGGACACGAGGGGCAGUGGGGUAGGGCAGCGCUGGGGGCAGCUGCAAGAUCAUGAUUUUCUUUUUCCAAAAAGAAAAGGGAGAGAAGGCGAGAGAUGAGAAGCGCUCCCCCGGCAGGGCAGGCCCCACAGCAGGUCCAUGGCGCCCGGGAGGCCAGUGGCCCUGCAGACUGCUGCUGGGGCUUGGCUGCUUCACUUCCAGUCCAGUUCUCUGCUGUGGCCUGGGAAAGCAGAAGAUGGCAUAAGGCCUUGGACCACUGCACCCACGUGGGAGACCUGGAAGAAGCUCCUGGCUCCUGUCUUCAGAUCGGCACAGCUCCGGCCGUUGCAGCCAAUUGGGGAGUGAACCAUCGGAUGGAAGACCUCUCUCUCUCUCUCUUUCUCUCUCUCUCUCUCUCUCUGUGUGUAAUUCUGACUUUCAAAUAAAUAAAACCUUUUUUUAAAAUUUAAAAAUUUUUUUAAAUUUAAUUUAAAAAUUUUUUUAAAUUUAUUUUACAGGUAGAGUUAGAGACAGUGAGAGAGAGAGACAGAGAGAAAGGUCUUCCUUCUGAUGGUUCACUCCCCAAAUGGCCGCCAUGGCCAGCGCUGCGCUGAUGCGAAGCCAGGAGCCAGGAGCUUCCUCCUGGUCUCCCAUGGGGUGCAGGGCCCAAGCACCUGGGCCAUCCUCCACUGCACUCCCGGCCACAGCAGAGAGCUGGCCUGGAAGAGGACAACCGGGACUAGAACCUGGCGCCCAUAUGGGAUGCCGGUGCUGCAGGGGGAGGAUUAACCAAAUGAGCCAAAGUGCCGGCACCAAAUAAAAUCUUUU